Long non-coding RNA from Lingula anatina, 536 nucleotides. Lineage: Eukaryota; Metazoa; Brachiopoda; Lingulata; Lingulida; Lingulidae. The record is from RefSeq and is a predicted model, not a curated record.
AGACGAGCCAAGAUUUGUAUUUUGGUGUGAUGUUUGGUGCCUGAGGGUCGAGGCAUCAAGACAUUAUGUUUCAUGAAUGCCAAAUGCACGUGUUUGACACCCUGACAAUGGGACCACCUAGCAUAUCCAGGUGACUUGUGAAAGAAGGUGCGACCUGUAAAUUGCGAUACAAUUGAAAGAGCACAAGCUGGCACAGUCCACUUGAUGAGGAGAACAUGUGCAGAGCUGGUUGACAAACUUGAACGUCAGAAUGGAAGCAAAGCCACAAAAAAAUGUAGGCUCAUUGAAAAGCCCAAGAAUAUAGCAGAGUGACUGUGAAGACCCUGUGAAGAGGUGUCUGGAAAAUCUGCAGCUUUUGAUUCAGGGAAAAGAAGAAUAUUGUUCUGUAAUUUGUCACUGUUACAAGACAACAUUCAUGCCGACAGCAAAUGCAAGCAAUACAGCAACUAUGACUUCUAGGAAACCACAGCGGAAUGGAUCUUCUGUUUCGCUGCCAGAGUUCAACAUUGCAUUACUAGGAGUACUUGGGGUAGGAA